CUCUUUCCAGCCGCCCUGUGGGGAAGGUGUCUUGCUUCCCCUUCACCUUCCACCAUCAGUGUAAGUUUCCUGAGGAUUCCCCAGCCGUGCUGAACUAGAUGUGGUCUCACUGUGUUGCCUAGGCUAGUCUCAAACUCCUGGCCUCAAACUAUCAUCCCACCUUAGCCUCCCAAAGUGCCGGGAUCACAAAUUUGUCCCAUAGCAUAAGAUUCACACUCAAUACUAUCAUCCUUUGGGUCUCUAAGACACCAACCUAAAAGCAGAAGAAGGCUUCAAAGGUGGAAGAAGAUGUGAGCCUGGGUGAUUGAAAAAUAGAUGUGCCAUUACCCUGAAAUAGGACUUCUUCAAGGCAAAGGCUGAUACAGUGGUGGCUACAGUCUAUGUUGUGAUUUGAUGGAACUUUUCACUUUUCACCAUUCAAACCAGUAUCCAGAGGUACAGUUGCUGCAUAACUUCCUCAUUAUCCAUAGGACCAAACUAAAUGUCUCUGGUUUGAAAUUUUGACUAGAAAUUAUAUACAUCUGCCAGCAAUUAUUGUGGGUGUAACUGAAGUGCACACUGCUCACUGCCCCUCAAUAACAUCAUUUUCAAAUAAUAACAUUGGAAAGAGGUACUUUCCUAAAACUUUCAAGUGAUCUACAAUCUCCCAGACUACUUUUACAAUGGAUUUUUUUUUUUUUUACUAGAUGUGUUAUUUCAAUUUUGGCCGCUAACCAAAAGGCAGGACAUUGCUGGUGAAUUUAAGCUGUUCAAUUAUACACAAAAAAGAAUCUGAGC
Molecule: long non-coding RNA, 777 nt
Filed under: Homo sapiens (human)
Lineage: Eukaryota; Metazoa; Chordata; Mammalia; Primates; Hominidae
Description: HSALNT0349385
Source: RNAcentral